Molecule: long non-coding RNA, 1423 nt
Organism: Cucurbita moschata (crookneck pumpkin)
Lineage: Eukaryota; Viridiplantae; Streptophyta; Magnoliopsida; Cucurbitales; Cucurbitaceae
Exons: 3
Source: RefSeq, a predicted model, not a curated record
CAUGGGAAAUGUGUCCCCACGUCGUACAGCCCAUUAGCUGCAUGGGAAUGGGUUGGGUCGCGCCCCCCAUAGAGGGACUAGAUGGGCGUAGGGGUACUCAGCACACCCCUAGGCCAGGUACCAUGUAGUCCCAAAUAGCCAUGUAGAGGUAGCACCUCAUAGAGAGAUAUCGACCAUAUUAGCUUGGCAUAAAGAACCUCUAGACGUUUAAUGAAAGAACGAAAAAUCAGUGAAACCCAAGGGGCAAGCCCCAAGGGACCUAGAUUAGAGCCAGUUGUCCUAGAACCGAAAUAGGAAAUCGUGGCAGCCUGUUAAAUUAAGAUGCGAAGAGAGCCUACAAGUAGGUGGCUUACUGAGUAUAAUUUUUAUACUCAUCCUUGCUAUGUUUUCCUUUUUUUUUUUCAGGAGCGUGAGGUGUCGGUCAAGAGUGGGCGUGAUCUGAAGGGAACUGUCACAGAGGAAUAGGUUGUCCCGGGGCGUCAGUCCAGUCUUAGUCUUUAUUUUUGUGUUCGCAUUCUUUUGAAAUUUAUUUUCCAAACGGUCUUGUGUUCUGUGUUUAUCGUUCGAAAAACUUUAUUGAUUUUCGUUACUUCGUAUUUAAAUCUCUUGUGCAUUUGUGUCGUGUCGUUAGUCACUGUCCGUAGUAAAAUAUUGGGCUGUGACACAACCCGAACCACAAUCCAAACCGGAAUCAACCUGUGCUUUGACCUGAAAUGCCUGCGCUAUCGUGACCCUCUUAGAUACUGCCACGUGUUAGGUCGCGACGCAAGAAGCCCUUCGGCUUGAGCGGCUUGAACGACUUGUGGAGGGCGGCGGCUUGUGGCGACUAUUCAGCUCGAUUUUUAAUUUUUGACCCGAUUUCCAUUGUUUCGAUCCUCCUGGACCUAUUUUCGGCCCCGACUAAGGUGACGAACAGUGCGAUAAGAAACAAACCUCGACAACCUUUGGAGCAGCUGCCAAGGAACGGGAACUUACGUUAAUUAAAUUAAGGAAUACUUUGGCUAAGUCCAACCAAGGAUACUUCUCUGGAGACAAUAAGUGUGGACGCGCACAGUACGAUGAUGAGGGUAUUCAUGGGGAGCAUGACACCAAGGGGUUCUGCUGACCUCCGGACAUCGCUACAAAUUAGCUUGACUAGAGAGGGUCGAGGGGUGUGCGAGCCCCCUGGGGAUUCACACUCGCACGUGUGUAGGGAAGUACUACACAUCCAAUUUUUCGAGAUGAGGCCACCCCUAGAGAAUAGAGAUAGGUCUAAGAGCAUGAUUGCAUGUGUUUGAAUUUGCAUGACCUCUUAUAAUGGGGCCACUUAUUGAGUAUUCUUCGAAAUACUCUGGCCGUGUGCCACAUCAUUUUUUAGGUAAAGGCAAGGCGCACAUGUAUGGAGGACGACGGUAUCGCAAGUAAAGACUGUUACACGUGCAUA